Molecule: ribosomal RNA, 456 nt
Filed under: uncultured bacterium
Lineage: Bacteria
Description: bacterial SSU rRNA
Rfam family: Bacterial small subunit ribosomal RNA
Source: RNAcentral
UACGGGAGGCAGCAGUGGGGAAUAUUGCACAAUGGGCGCAAGCCUGAUACAGCCAUGCCGCGUGUAUGAAGAAGGCCUUCGGGUUGUAAAGUACUUUUCAGUCGUGAGGAAGGUGUUAAGGUUAAUAACCUUAGCAAUUGACGUUAGCGACAGAAGAAGCACCGGCUAACUCCGUGCCAGCAGCCGCGGUAAUACGGAGGGUGCGAGCGUUAAUCGGAAUUACUGGGCGUAAAGGGCACGCAGGCGGUUAAUUAAGUUGGAUGUGAAAUCCCCCGGGCUUAACCUGGGAAUGGCAUUCAAGACUGGUUAGCUAGAGUCUUGUAGAGGGGGGUUAGAAUUCCAUGUGUAGCGGUGAAAUGCGUAGAGAUGUGGAGGAAUACCGGUGGCGAAGGCGGCCCCUGGACAAAGACUGACGCUCAUGUGCGAAAGCGUGGGGAGCAAACGAGGGAUUAGAUA